GGGUCCGACCUGGCUUCGACGUGGGUGCGGAGUCGGCGCGGGGCAUGCCGAGCACCAGUCAGCUCGUAAAUCCAUCUGGAAACAAAGUAACUGCGAACGAUCAAACGUACGCCCUCGCCGCUUAAAACCGGUGAGCCUUGCAACAGUUCUCCUAUGGGCUGGGUUUGAGGUGGCAACACCAAUAACUGCAAGGUCAUUUACAUAGGAUCGUGCCGCUGUGUGUCAUUCACAGCGGACCUAAAACCAAAUGACUCGGGGCCAAGGUAGCGUGCUGCUGCGCGACCAAGGCACUUAAAUCCAAAUCAGACAGCUACGCAUGUAGAACCGUCCGGCGAUGGCUUGCGGACGGGGGUUCGAUUCCCCCCGGAUCCACCA
RNAcentral lists this transfer-messenger RNA (375 nucleotides) under Rubrivivax sp. It matches the Rfam family "transfer-messenger RNA". Rfam says of the family: Bacterial tmRNA, also known as 10Sa RNA or SsrA, is named for its dual tRNA and mRNA-like properties. Lineage: Bacteria; Pseudomonadati; Pseudomonadota; Betaproteobacteria; Burkholderiales; Sphaerotilaceae. The record is from RNAcentral.